UGGGGAAUAUUGCACAAUGGGCGAAAGCCUGAUGCAGCAACGCCGCGUGAGUGAUGAAGGUCUUCGGAUUGUAAAGCUCUGUCUUUUGGGACGAUAAUGACGGUACCAAAGGAGGAAGCCACGGCUAACUACGUGCCAGCAGCCGCGGUAAUACGUAGGUGGCGAGCGUUGUCCGGAUUUACUGGGCGUAAAGGGUGCGUAGGCGGAUGUUUAAGUGAGAUGUGAAAUACCCGGGCUUAACUUGGGUGCUGCAUUUCAAACUGGAUAUCUAGAGUGCAGGAGAGGAGAAU
This 290-nucleotide ribosomal RNA is filed under the name uncultured bacterium. Its description in RNAcentral is "partial 16S ribosomal RNA". It matches the Rfam family "Bacterial small subunit ribosomal RNA", at positions 355 to 662 of the family's 1533-position model. The record is from RNAcentral.